ACUCAAAUGAAUAGACGGGGGCCCGCACAAGCGGUGGAGCAUGUGGUUCAAUUCGAUGCAACGCGAAGAACCUUACCUGGGUUUGAAGAGUGGGAGACCGGGCAUGAAAGUGCCCUUCCCCGCAAGGGGCUGCUACUUAGGUGCUGCAUGGCUGUCGUCAGCUCGUGUCGUGAGAUGUUGGGUUAAGUCCCGCAACGAGCGCAACCCUUGUCCUCAGUUACCACCAUUCAGUUGGGGACUCUGAGGAGACCGCCGGUGACAAACCGGAGGAAGGUGGGGAUGACGUCAAGUCCUCAUGGCCUUUAUGUCCAGGGCUACACACGUGCUACAAUGGCCGGUACAAACCGUUGCAAGCUCGCGAGAGUAAGCCAAUCGGAAAAAACCGGUCUCAGUUCGGAUUGCAGGCUGCAACUCGCCUGCAUGAAGCUGGAAUCGCUAGUAAUCGCGGAUCAGCACGCCGCGGUGAAUACGUUCCCGGGCCUUGUACACACCGCCCGU
Molecule: ribosomal RNA, 498 nt
Filed under: uncultured bacterium
Lineage: Bacteria
Description: bacterial SSU rRNA
Rfam family: Bacterial small subunit ribosomal RNA
Source: RNAcentral